GGACGAACGCUGGCGGCGUGCCUAAUACAUGCAAGUAGAACGCUGAAGGAGGAGCUUGCUCUUCUGGAUGAGUUGCGAACGGGUGAGUAACGCGUAGGUAACCUGCCUGGUAGCGGGGGAUAACUAUUGGAAACGAUAGCUAAUACCGCAUAAGAGUAGAUGUUGCAUGACAUUUGCUUAAAAGGUGCAAUUGCAUCACUACCAGAUGGACCUGCGUUGUAUUAGCUAGUUGGUGGGGUAACGGCUCACCAAGGCGACGAUACAUAGCCGACCUGAGAGGGUGAUCGGCCACACUGGGACUGAGACACGGCCCAGACUCCUACGGGAGGCAGCAGUAGGGAAUCUUCGGCAAUGGACGGAAGUCUGACCGAGCAACGCCGCGUGAGUGAAGAAGGUUUUCGGAUCGUAAAGCUCUGUUGUAAGAGAAGAACGAGUGUGAGAGUGGAAAGUUCACACUGUGACGGUAUCUUACCAGAAAGGGACGGCUAACUACGUG
This 496-nucleotide ribosomal RNA is filed under the name uncultured bacterium. RNAcentral describes it as "partial 16S ribosomal RNA". It matches the Rfam family "Bacterial small subunit ribosomal RNA", at positions 27 to 507 of the family's 1533-position model. The record is from RNAcentral.